GUCAACGGUAAAGUGUUUCCGUGUAAUAAAUAAAUUGACUGUUCAUCAGCAAUCUGCAAUUCAUUUUGCAUCAAUAAUAUUUCAAAAAAUCCAUUUGAAUAAAUAAGAUUCUGCAAUGAAAAGAAGAUUUGACUCGUAUUACAUCACGUCACUCGACGGAUGCGGCACUUUGUGUGAGUAAAACAUAUUAACACACUUGAACGUCGAUACUCUCGGUUAUUUGAAACCAGCUCAGCCAAUUAUCCACGAGAAUUAGUUCCACUGUGUUGGCCGUGUGUUUUUUUUUGUCCUACAAUGUAUCGAUGUUGGUGUCGUCGCGCGCAACAUGCGUGACGCCAAUGAACGGAACACGCGCAGCGACUUCUCCCGCGUGUUUUCCAGCGCGUUUGGACUCAAACAAACUAACCCGAGUUGUUUCUCUACCGGCACGAAUGUUUGCACACACUCUCCAGCCGCUCACUUUUCCUUCCUCCCACCCGGGUGACAGAUGGCCGACAGGCUGAGAGACGGCCGCCAAUCUCCCCGUCCAACGAAUCCAGCCGCCCCCCAUUCUACACCCCCCCCCCCCCCGCCUGUGACUCGCCAGCUGUCACUGUCGACUCUUUCGGCCAUUUUUUCCCGGUGAUUGGAGUCUUUUACAUGGUGCGUGUGUUUGUGUGUGUGUGUGUGUCCACAAGCCGAUGCACACAGGAAGUGACACGUCUGCAGGAGACUCCACUCUGCUUUCGGGAGGAGUGCACGGCAGCGGUGAGACGUCCUCCGGAGAAACAGACUUUGAUAAACGGAACAUUUAUUGGCUUGUUUCGAACCGAUUGACAGACCAAAUUAUCUUCACGUCUCAGGACAAAAAAGUCAAAUUGGCCGGGUUUAAAACAGUGUCAUUUCAAAUCGGGUGAGACAUCGUUGUGUCGACCAGCAAGCCCUUUAAUAUAUUACUUGCAAUAAAAAGAAACAUGUUUAAUUAAUGAGUAAGAUGCAUAACUGUCAUUUUCAGUAGCUGCAGCCAUGACGGCUUUGUUAGCAGGUGAGAUAUCCCGUUCCCCCGUCUGAUCCAUUGCGGCUGUAGAAGAGAACAAACGUCACCGUGGACCCGUCUGGGACGCACCCCGUGUGUCUAUAAAUCCCGAAGGCCCAAACCCCCGAUGUGUCCCAAAAAAGCGAAAGGGAUUCUCACUAAGACGCCACAGAUCACAGUUCAUGAUUCCCAGAAGCCCAAGCACGUAACCACACAAAGCGCCUGACGUACAGGAGGCCCGGCGGCCCAACCCCCGCGAGGCAGCUAAUUGGAAUGCGGCCAUUGUUGACUUUCUGCAUUCAACCUCCGAGCUGCUGGGAAACAUCCAAAUGCCCGAUGUGAAAAAUGCAACCGGCACCGCAGAGGGGCGGAGUCAGCAGAGAGCUGUCAUGAAACGACGAAUUAAAUAAUGAUAAAAUAAAGAAAAACUCCACUGUAGGAAAGGCUGAACUGCUGCUGUAAUUCAAGAUAUAAAAGGGAAGCCGAUGCUUAAGGCUGCAUUCUCUCUCCCGACCAACAGGGGGCGACUCCUCUGCUCCCAUAGACGUCUAUGAGGAAAUGACUCUACUUCUCUGUAGUGACCAGCAGGGGGCGACUCCUCUGCUCCCAUAGACGUCUAUGAGGAAAUGACUCUACUUCUCUGCAGUGACCAGCAGGGGGCGACUCCUCUGCUCCCAUAGACGUCUAUGAGGAAAUGACUCUACUUCUCUGCAGUGACCAGCAGGGGGCGACUCCUCUGCUCCCAUAGACGUCUAUGAGGAAAUGACUCUACUUCUCUGUAGUGACCAGCAGGGGGCGACUCCUCUGCUCCCAUAGACGUCUAUGAGGAAAUGACUCUACUUCUCUGCAGUGACCAGCAGGGGGCGACUC
Molecule: long non-coding RNA, 1885 nt
Organism: Gasterosteus aculeatus aculeatus (three-spined stickleback)
Lineage: Eukaryota; Metazoa; Chordata; Actinopteri; Perciformes; Gasterosteidae
Source: Ensembl